GAUGAAGAACGCAGCGAAAUGCGAUAAGUAAUGUGAAUUGCAGAAUUCAGUGAAUCAUCGAGUCUUUGAACGCACAUUGCGCCCCUUGGUAUUCCGAGGGGCAUGCCCGUUCGAGCGUCAUUAUACCCCUCAAGCCUAGCUUGGUGUUGGGGCCUGCUGUUACCGGCAGCCCUUAAAAUCAGUGGCGGUGCCAUCUGGCUCUAAGCGUAGUAAUACUUCUCGCUACAGGGUCCCGGUGGAUGCUUGCCAUCAACCCCUAAUUUUCUAUGGUUGACCUCGGAUCGGGUAGGGAUACCCGCUGAACUUAAGCAUAUCAAUAAGCGGAGGA
RNAcentral lists this unclassified non-coding RNA (328 nucleotides) under soil metagenome. RNAcentral's name for it is "partial contains 5.8S ribosomal RNA, internal transcribed spacer 2, and large subunit ribosomal RNA". The stretch from base 1 to 120 matches the Rfam family "5.8S ribosomal RNA", at positions 35 to 154 of the family's 154-position model. The record is from RNAcentral.